AGUUUGAAGUCGAACAGUGACAAGUGGUGAAAAGAUUCCAGUGCUCCGACUUCGAAAGACAUCAAUUGGCAGAUAAAGUUUGAAAUCAAACGGUGACAAGUGGUGAAAAGAUUCCAGUGCUCCGACUUCGAAAGACAUCAAUUGGCAGAUAAAGGAAGGGAUAAAUACUUCUAUUUUCGAAAUUCAAUGGCAUGAGUGGCAAGGACUUUGCAUCAUCUUCAUGAUUUUGAAGUUACUUUUAUACCAGAAUAAAGAAAUAAUUGGCAGUUUCGGGUACAACGGUAUGGAGUGAAUUGUUAUUAAUUUUCCAUGGGUGGUGUAACGAUACACAAUCAAGGGAAACCGAAAAGCACACAAUGUGUAUAAUCUAUUUGCCUUGGAGACUGCCAGUAUGCGGUUGACAGAUCCUUUUCACGUUGCAAGAGGACAGGAUUCUGGUGGACCGCACUUCCCCCAGGAUGUUCAUGCGAUGCCAACACUGACAUCAAAGCGAUCCACUGUCGCGAAUUGAAAAUUAGUGUUAUCAUUUCAUUGCCCUUUGCAUUUUAUAUGUAAAAAGCUUUGUUUUCGAUAAUUCAAUACAAUGAUUUAUUAUUUCUCUUCUGGCAAAUUUCAUGAAAGCAUGUUGAACUAGCAUGGAAAUAUCGGUUUCUUUUUAAGUUUCUCUCUCGAGGAACAUUAGUUUAUAUGUUUAAUUGUAAAAAAUAUUGUGAAAAUUAGUGAUAAUUAAAUAUCUCUGAGCAAUAAAAGUACAAAA
Molecule: long non-coding RNA, 757 nt
Organism: Apis cerana (Asiatic honeybee)
Lineage: Eukaryota; Metazoa; Arthropoda; Insecta; Hymenoptera; Apidae
Source: RefSeq, a predicted model, not a curated record